UGAAAAUGCCCAGCCUACAGAAUCUGAAAAGGAAAUUUAUAAUUAAUUAGGUGAAUGUAGUAUUAAAAGAUGCAAACGGCAUCUUGGAGGACUUACAGUCAUACAGAGGAGAUGACCAUGAAAUACAAGAGGUAAUCCAGCAGCCAGCAGAUGAGAAGUUGCAAGAGAAGGCAUGGGGUGCAUUUGUUCCACUGGGAGGCAAAUUAAAGAAAUUUUAUGAAUUGUCUCAGCGGUUAGAAGCAGCAUUAAAAGGUCUUCAGGGAGCCUUGACAAGUACGCCAUAUUCUCCCACCCAGCAUCUAGUGCAAGAACAGGCUUCUGCUAAAGAGUUUUCAGAAGUUCUUCAUUUCACACUCUGGUUUGAUGAACUCAGGAUGACAAAUCCUGCUAUACAGAAUGAUUUCAGCUAUUAUAGAAGAACAUUGAGUUGUAUAAGGAUUAAUAAUGUUAAUUUGAGAAUGGACUAAUACAGUAGGUAUCAUAAGACUCUAUGAUUAAGUAUAUUCAGUGGGAGCAUUUGCCAAAACUUCCAAACUUGGUAUGAAAGGUUGUACCAAAGUUCUUAAGGACCAACCUCCUAAUAGUGUAAAAUAUCUUCUAAAUGCUCUCCGGUACACAAUAAAACAUUUGAAUGAUCAGACUAACUCCAAGCAAAUUAAAUCCAUGAUGCAAUAACAGUUCGGGAAUAAGCACCUGUUGUAGACAGAAGACAGUAUUCUGCACUGACUGAGAAUACAGUUUUUUAGUGAUUGCAAUUACCAUGACAUUUUUCUUGCUUUUAUGUCUUCCUCUGUUCCUCUUCUCUCCUUUAAGAUCAUGUUCUUAUUCCUAAGACUUCUUCUCUAUACCCAAAUUAGUAAAGUUAUACUCUAAAGAGAUAUUGUCCUUUCAAACAGGUAACCUACAGCAGCUAAUUAUUGGGGUCUCUACUGAGAAAAAUUCUGUGACUUUUAUCUAAAUAUUUUCAAAUGUGAAUUUUGGGGAAACUAAUAUUUAUUUGCUUCUCCUACAUGGCAAAACUGCCAAUUCUGCUAUUUGAAAACCCCCAAUGACUUUAUUUUCUACUAUCACUUUUUUCAUGUGCUGCCACAAAAUGAAAAUGUUUAAAUAUGUUGUACAAAUGGUAGCCAACACAAACUUUUUUGUAGUUUUUAAGAGUUUAAAGUUUUAAUUUUACAUUUUGACCUUUUUUGUAAGGGUGUAUGUUAUGUGUUUCACCUUUGUUAACAUUAAAAACUGUGAUGUGUGCAUAGAAUAUUAC
Molecule: long non-coding RNA, 1261 nt
Filed under: Homo sapiens (human)
Lineage: Eukaryota; Metazoa; Chordata; Mammalia; Primates; Hominidae
Description: non-protein coding lnc-FASTKD1-5:1
Source: RNAcentral